CCACCUCAACACCCUGGCAUCCAGGCUUCUCCUAUUGAUGCCAGAUAAGGCCAUCCUCUGCUUCAUGUGCAGCUGGAGCCACGGCUCCCUCCAUGUGUACUCUUUGGUUGGUGGUUUAGUCCCUGGGAGAUCUGGGGGCGUCUAGUUGGUUGAUAUUGUUGUUCUUCCUAUGGUAUUGCAAACCCCUUCUUGCUAUAAUUUUUAAACUUUUAACUUUAGUAGAGGCAAGCUAUCAACAAAUAUUCUACUACUGUUUGCACAGACUUUACCACUGGCUGUUUAUCUGUCUGGGUCAAUGUAUCCCAUUUUGUUGUUGUUUUGUUGUUGUUGUUGUGUUUUGCUAUUAUUUGCUGCUGUUUCUUAUUAGUAUCCCCCCUCCUGGAAUUAACACCUAUUUUAUUAUUGCUUUCUCAGUUGACAUGCUAAUUCUAAUAAAUCAUCUAGUGACAUUU
RNAcentral lists this long non-coding RNA (452 nucleotides) under Rattus norvegicus (Norway rat). RNAcentral describes it as "long non-coding RNA NONRATT016439". Lineage: Eukaryota; Metazoa; Chordata; Mammalia; Rodentia; Muridae. The record is from RNAcentral.